RNAcentral lists this long non-coding RNA (859 nucleotides) under Nicotiana benthamiana. RNAcentral's name for it is "long non-coding RNA (NBEN_LNC023550)". The record is from RNAcentral. Lineage: Eukaryota; Viridiplantae; Streptophyta; Magnoliopsida; Solanales; Solanaceae.
UAAUUGAUUUGGUUUAAUAUUUGUUACUUUAUGAAGUGGCUGUAGACAUACACUGAUAACUUUGGUUUCUUUAAGAUGUUAGUAAGUGUAGGACUGUAAUCCUGUAGUAUUUUGCUUUAUAUAUAAGAGGCCGGUUUCCAUAUUGCUGAAUUAUUUAAGUAGAACAUAGAAAUCCUUGAUGUUCACUUUAAGAUAGAGAAAAUUGUGUUCUCGAUGCUUUGUGCAUUUGCAUCAGUUUGUUCUGUUUUUGAUGGUUCACUUGGGUGAGGAGUUUGGUGCUUUCAUAUAAACAAGUGAGUCAUCAUUUUCUUUUGCUAUGUUUGCUUUGUAGCAUUUGCUUAAAGUUCCAAUUGCCUAGCUGACUUCAGAUUUUAUGUUUGGAUCAAAAUACAGUGGCAAAACGAUCAUCCAUUUUUGACGAUCCAAGCAAAGAAAUCCAAGAAUUAACAGCUUUGAUAAAAAAUGAUAUCACGACACUUAACGUAGGAGUUUCUGAUUUACAAACACUCCAAGAUAUGGAGAUAGCUGAAUGAUAUCACGGCACUUAAUGUAGGAGUUUCUGAUUUACAAACCCUCCAAGAUAUGGAGGUAGCUGAUGGAACUCAUUCAAAAGAUAGAGUUGUUCAUUGUACUGCUGUUUGUGAUGAUUUGAAGACCAGACUAAUGGCUGCUACAAAAUCUUUCCAGGACGCACUAACUACUAGGACAAAGGUUGAUGCCAAGUGGGCUGUUACCAUUUUUCAUUUUAGCACCCUGAAGUAGAUGACUCAUCGUCUAACUCAAGAAUUUUAUUUUUUUCACUGCAGAAUAUGAAAGCACACGAGGAUCGGAAACAAAUAUUUUCUACAAAUCUCGCAAG